AGCUUUCUUCGCGCGGGAGCUCGACCCGCGACUGCCGAAGUAGUGGAGUUCAUCGACAAACACCGGGACCGCUUCGGGGUCGAGCCGAUCUGCCAGACGCUGCAGGUCGCCCCG
Molecule: non-coding RNA, 114 nt
Organism: Chloroflexi bacterium 13_1_40CM_4_65_13
Lineage: Bacteria; Bacillati; Chloroflexota
Source: Rfam